Molecule: non-coding RNA, 121 nt
Filed under: Corethron hystrix
Lineage: Eukaryota; Bacillariophyta; Corethrophyceae; Corethrales; Corethraceae
Source: RNAcentral
AGGAAAGCAGGCCAAUCAAGUUAUGAGAGACGAUCCCAACUUAGCUGUCGCGGUGAUGCGAGGUAUCGGCCAAGGCCUCGGACGCAUGCACGAUGCAGCAUCCGGAAUCAGCAUGGAAGAA